Molecule: ribosomal RNA, 394 nt
Filed under: uncultured cyanobacterium
Lineage: Bacteria; Bacillati; Cyanobacteriota
Description: bacterial SSU rRNA
Rfam family: Bacterial small subunit ribosomal RNA
Source: RNAcentral
GACGGAGGAUGCAAGUGUUAUCCGGAAUUACUGGGCGUAAAGCGUCUGUAGGUGGUUUAAUAAGUCAACUGUUAAAUCUUGAGGCUUAACUUCAAAACAGCAGUCGAAACUAUUAGACUAGAGUAUAGUAGGGGUAAAGGGAAUUUCCAGUGGAGCGGUGAAAUGCGUAGAUAUUGGAAAGAACACCGAUGGCGAAAGCACUUUACUGGGCUAUUACUAACACUCAGAGACGAAAGCUAGGGUAGCAAAUGGGAUUAGAUACCCCAGUAGUCCUAGCUGUAAACAAUGGAUACUAGAUGUUGAACAGAUCGACCUGUGCAGUAUUAAAGCUAACGCGUUAAGUAUCCCGCCUGGGAAGUAUGCUCGCAAGAGUGAAACUCAAAGGAAUUGACGG